ACUCAAAGGAAUUGACGGGGGCCCGCACAAGCAGCGGAGCAUGUGGUUUAAUUCGAAGCAACGCGAAGAACCUUACCUAGACUUGACAUCUCCUGAAUUACCCUUAAUCGGGGAAGCCCUUCGGGGCAGGAAGACAGGUGGUGCAUGGUUGUCGUCAGCUCGUGUCGUGAGAUGUUGGGUUAAGUCCCGCAACGAGCGCAACCCUUAUCAUUAGUUGCUACCAUUAAGUUGAGCACUCUAGUGAGACUGCCACGGUUAACGUGGAGGAAGGUGGGGAUGACGUCAAAUCAUCAUGCCCCUUAUGUCUAGGGCUACACACGUGCUACAAUGGUGAAUACAAAUAGAUGCAAUACCGCGAGGUGGAGCCAAACUAUAAAAUUCAUCCCAGUUCGGAUUGUAGUCUGAAACUCGACUACAUGAAGCCGGAGUUGCUAGUAAUCGCGAAUCAGCAUGUCGCGGUGAAUACGUUCCCGGGCCUUGUACACACCGCCCGU
This 494-nucleotide ribosomal RNA is filed under the name uncultured bacterium. RNAcentral describes it as "partial 16S ribosomal RNA". It matches the Rfam family "Bacterial small subunit ribosomal RNA", at positions 899 to 1397 of the family's 1533-position model. The record is from RNAcentral.